AGUGGACGCAUCACUGGUGUUCGGGUUGUCAUGCCAAUGGCACUGCCCGGUAGCUAAAUGCGGAAGAGAUAAGUGCUGAAAGCAUCUAAGCACGAAACUUGCCCCGAGAUGAGUUCUCCCUGAGACUUAGAGUCUCCUGAAGGAACGUUGAAGACGACGACGUUGAUAGGCCGGGUGUGUAAGCGCAGCGAUGCGUUGAGCUAACCGGUACUAAUGAACCGUGAGGCUUAACCUUACAACGCCGAAGMUGUU
RNAcentral lists this ribosomal RNA (252 nucleotides) under Escherichia coli. RNAcentral's name for it is "partial 23S ribosomal RNA". It matches the Rfam family "Bacterial large subunit ribosomal RNA", at positions 2696 to 2925 of the family's 2925-position model. The record is from RNAcentral. Lineage: Bacteria; Pseudomonadati; Pseudomonadota; Gammaproteobacteria; Enterobacterales; Enterobacteriaceae.